GACGAACGCUGGCGGUGUGCUUAACACAUGCAAGUCGAACGGUAAGGCCCUUUCGGGGGUACACGAGUGGCGAACGGGGGAGUAACACGUGAGUAACCUGCCCUCAUCUCUGGGAUAACAGUCGGAAACGGUUGCUAAUACUGGAUAUGAGCUUGCAAGGCAUCUUGUGGGAUGGAAAGAUUUUUUUUGGCUGGGGGUGGAAUCGGGGCGUAUCAGAUUGCUGGUGAGGUAGUGGCUCACCAAGGCUUCGACGGGGAGCCGGCCUGAGAGGGCGAACGGACAGAUUAGGACUGAGAGACGGCCCGAAGUCCGACGUGUUGCAGCAGGGGGGAAUAUUGGACAAAGGACGGAAGUCUGAUGCAGCAACGCCUCGUGCUGGAAGAGGGCUUUCGUGGUGAAAGCCGCUUAGAAUGGUGACGAAGCUUUGUUGUGACGGUAGCAGUAGAAGAAGCACCGGCUAACUACGUG
This 468-nucleotide ribosomal RNA is filed under the name uncultured bacterium. Its description in RNAcentral is "partial 16S ribosomal RNA". It matches the Rfam family "Bacterial small subunit ribosomal RNA", at positions 28 to 507 of the family's 1533-position model. The record is from RNAcentral.